GGGGGAGAAUGGGCAUCCCACCCCAGCACUUUCUAGGAAGAAGGGCAGCAUUUUGAAGGGCUGGAAGUAGAGGAAGGAGGUUGCGGGUAGAAGACUCCAUACUUUCUGUGACGCCUAUUCCUUAGCUUGUGAUGAAUGUUUUCUCAGUAUCCUAUGCUGAAAACAGAACAACAGAAGUUUCAACAUUCUGCCAACAGAGUAACUCCUGGAAGAUUGGCACAGAAGAAGGCACAAGGAGAGCCUUUAUAUAACCAAAGAUAUUUUUGGACCAUGAAUUCAGAAAUUCUCGGAGCCACCCAUCAGUGCCUGAGCUUCAGUGAGUCCAUAUCCCAUGUCACCCACGGCAAAGGAGACUCUAAGACUUCUGAAGAGUUUCUUGCUUCUUUCCUGUGGGGCAGUGACUCCACUUCCCAGCAGUAAUGGAAUAUCCUGAAUUAGCUACAUUAAUGUUAGAACCAUUUGGACCUCACCCAGGACUUCAACUACAUUAUGCUAAAGUUACAGAACCCAAAUUUGGCAACUGUCUGCAUCUGAACAACAGAAGUUUCAACAUUCUGCCAACAGAGUAACUCCUGGACGAUUGGCACAGAAGAAGGCACAAGGCAAAUACCCAUCUCUGUACACCCUGUGCUACUGUGUCAUGUGCUGCUCCAGGCAACUCCAAUGGAUUGGCCACCCUGGCCAAUGUGUUCUAGUAUGUUACGUUUAUGUUCCCCUGCUUUCUACAAUCCUGUUCAAAGAGUUGCUGACUUAACCACAGAGAGGAUUCCAGAA
RNAcentral lists this long non-coding RNA (774 nucleotides) under Homo sapiens (human). RNAcentral's name for it is "STARD13 antisense RNA". Lineage: Eukaryota; Metazoa; Chordata; Mammalia; Primates; Hominidae. The record is from RNAcentral.